This 3828-nucleotide ribosomal RNA is filed under the name Triticum aestivum (bread wheat). RNAcentral's name for it is "partial small subunit ribosomal RNA". The record is from RNAcentral. Lineage: Eukaryota; Viridiplantae; Streptophyta; Magnoliopsida; Poales; Poaceae.
AUGCGCGCGCGGCUAAAGAAGGGCAAGACAUCGGCGAAGAAAAACAAGGCGGCGGACGGCUCCGGCACCUCCAAGGCGAAGAGGAAGAAGCUUGCGGGGCGUGCGACGGGCGCGGCGGCUGCCGAAGUGCCGGCAAGCUCACUCGUUGAGCCGGCGGCCGGCGCGCACAACAUGUUCGACGAAAUGCCUCCAAGUCUCAAUGAUGAUGCAUACAUGUCAACGAUGGGUGUUGGCUCCAACAAUUCGCAUUGGUCUCAAACCAAUGACAUGCAUUUUGAAGACCAUGAGUUCGAGGUGGACGAGGAGGGUGAGGGCAUUGUCGGCGCACCGAAAGGAAGAGCGGGCAAUUACACCAACACCGAUGACAUCUUACUAUGCAAUACUUGGUUGCAAGUGUCGAGGGAUCCAUCCUUCAACAUUGCGCAAAAUUUGUUCAAAGAAGAGGAGAGGAAAACCAAGAAGGAGAAGAUCAAGAAAGGAAGGGUCUUUACUUUGCCUCAUUGCUAUGAUGUGUUGAAGGAUGAUGAGAAAUGGAAGAAGCGUGAAGAUUUGGAUGAUUUGCAUUUGAGCGACAAACGGAAGCGAACAAUUAAGUUGCAUGAUGAUGAUGAUGAGGAUGAUGCAUCCAGUGAUGACGGCAAGAGAAGUCCUACACCCAACUCGGUUUCUUACUCGAAGCCAAAGCGACCAGAUGGGUGCAACAAAGACCAAACCCAAAAGAAGAAGAGGAAAGGAGAUGAUAAGCUCAAACAUGCUAUGGAAGCUAUUGUGAAGCCAAGAAAAGAAGCCAACGAGGUGAGGAAAAUGGCAAGGACCCAAGAUGCCGCGGCUGAGGAGAGGAGGUUGGCGGCCGAGGAGAGGAGGGUGGCGGCCGAGGAGAGAAAGGUGGCUUUGGAGGAGAGGAAGGUGAGCAAUGAGGAGCGAACUAGGUUGUUGGAAUGGGAGAAGCACUUGUUCUUCUUGGACACAACUAACCUCAAUGCGAUGCAAAAGGAUGGCAUCGGCGCCAUGGGUGGCGGUGGCCUCGGCGCCAUGGGUGGCGGUUGCAUCGGCGCCAUGGGUGGCGGUGGCCUCGGCGCCAUGGGUGGCGGUGGCCUUGGCGCCAUGGGUGCCAUGGGUGGCUUCGGAGGUACCGUGGGCGGUUUAGGUGCAAUGGGAGGCAUGGCUGGCUUUGGAGCACCCCCCGACGCUAUGGCCACGAUGGGAGGCAUGAGUUUUGCUUCUCUCAUGGGAGGCAUGGGUGCACCUCCGGCCGCCAUGGGCGGAAUGUCUUUCGAUGAGCCUCCUCGCACACAUUCCCAUAAAGAUGCCGUUGAAGAUCUUGCCAACACCGUCGGAGCUUCACGUGAUGCGGUGCGCGAGAGGGAGAAAGAUUCAUCUUCGGAGGCGGAAGAAUCCUCGGCUUUCCUCCUGGUGAUCACCACCACGGCGACCUUGCCUUGUGUUGCUCUCGCGGUAAGCGAUGAUGAUCAGCACAGGAGGAACAUCCUGUGGCGCCGCGGGUCCAUCGCCGUGGGGGACGACGCUCUGGUGUCCCCGAGCGGCGACUUCUCGUGCGGCUUCCACCGCGUCGCCACCAAUGCGUAUGUGUUCGCCGUCUGGUUCACCGCAUCGGCCGACCCGCCCACCCUCGCGUGGGCCGCCAACCGCGACGCCCCCGUGAACGGCAUGUGCUCCCGCGCCGAGCUGCUCAGGGACGGGUCACUGGUGCUGCGGGAUUUCGACGGGCUUGCCGCGUGGAGCACCAACACCAGCGGCACCGGCGCCGACCGUGCGCAGCUGCUCGACACGGGCAACCUCGUUGUGUCCGACGCCGCCGGCCGCACCCUGUGGCAGAGCUUCGACUGGCCCACCGACACGCUCCUCCCCGGGCAGUUCAUCACGCGGCACGCCCGCCUCGUGUCGGCAAAGGCGAGGGCCUCCACGUACUCCGGUUACUACAGCUUCUACUUCGACAACUUCAACAUCCUCAACCUCAUGUACGACGGCCCGGAGAUCAACAUGAACUACUGGCCGGACCCCUUCAAGACGUGGGUGGUCAACAAGAGGAUGGCCUUCAACAGCAGCCGGCUUGGCAGCCUCGACGAUCGCGGCCGCUUCUCGGCGAGCGACAAUCUGCGGUUCGCCGCCUCCGACAUGGGCGCCGCUGGGCACGUCAUGCGGCGGCUGACGCUGGACUACGACGGGAACCUCCGGGCUUACAGCCUUGACGUCGCUGGCGGCGGGGUCUGGCACGCCACGUGGGCGGCGCUCCUGCGGCAGUGCGGCGUGCACGGGAUAUGCGGCCGCUACGGCGUGUGCGCGUACGGGCUGGCCGGCCCGGCAUGCGCGUGCCCCGGUGACUGGAGCAAAGGCUGUCGGCGCUUGUUCGACGUCCGGUGCGGCGAGGACGUGUACUUCGCCGAGCUGCCGAACGUGGACUACUGGGGGUUCGACUACACGUUCGCCGAGAAGAUCAGCAUCGACGCGUGCCGGCAGAUGUGCCUCGACGACUGCAACUGCGAGGCGUUUGGCUACAAGAAGGGAGGAAGCGGCACAGGGCCGGCCCUAGGGCAUGGCGAGGACGGCAAGUGCUACACCAAGAUCUCCCUGUGGAACGGCCGAGGCCCGGAACCCAAGCAGUUCAUCUACUUCAAGGUCCCUAAACGCGUCGAGAAGAAGCCCAACCUGUCGUCUGUAUUGCGCUUGCGCUUCGAUGGCCAUGACUGCAGCACCACGCAAGAACGAAACGCCAGCGUCGUCUACUCGCCCUCCCGUCACCUAAAGAAUAUCAGCGGCGGCAAGAUAAAGUUCGUCUACUUCUACGGUUUCCUCGGGGCAUUGUUCGUCGUGGAAGCCGUCGUCAUCAUCGCCGGGUAUCUGUUCAUCUUCCGAGGCAAGCCGGCCGCAGCGCGACGAGUCGACGACGAUGGCUAUAGCUUGGUGAUGAGCCACUUCAGGAAGUUCGCGUACGACGAACUCUACAAUGCCACCUGCAAUUUUGGUGAGGAGCUCUGGAGGGGAGCAUCCGGGGCGGUGUACAAGGGCGUGUUGGACGACGGCCGGGACGUGGCCGUGACGCGGCUGGUGGAGGUGACGACGCCGCAGGCCGAGGAGGUUUUCCGGCUCCUCGUCUCCGAGUACGCCGAGAACGGCUCGCUGGCCAGGGCCCUCUUUGACGGGGAUGGCGGUGAGCAGGUCGUGCUGGGGUGGCAAUCGAGGUACAAGAUCGCCGUCGGCGUCGCCAAGGGGCUGGCCUACCUGCACCACGAGUGCCUCGAGUGGAUCCUGCACUGCGACAUGAAGCCCGAGAACGUUCUGCUGGACGCUGACCUGGAGCCCAAGAUCACCGGCUUCGGCCUGGUGAAGCUGCUUAGCCGGCAAGAGGACGCGUGCGACAAAGCGCCGUCCCGUGUGAUGGGGGCAAGUGGGCACGUCGCGCCGGAGUGGGCGCUGAGCGUCCCUAUCACCGGGAAGGCCGACGUGUACAGCUUUGGCAUCGUGCUUCUGGAGCUGCUCCGUGGGCAGAGGUUCAGCGAGUGGACGGCGUUGCAGGGGGUGCCCGGAGAUGACGAGGAGGCACCCGUGGAUUUACGGGAGAUCGUAGCGUGGUUUAAGGACAAGACGCUGGAGUGCCAAUGUGAGGGGUUGGCGCCGGCGCCGUGGCUGGAGGAGUUCGUGGAUGCGCGGUUGCUCGGUGACUUCAACCGCUCGCAGACGACGGUGAUGCUGGAGGUGGCUGUCUCGUGCGUACAGGAUGAUCCCAGCAGGAGGCCGAGCAUGAAGGCCGUCGCGCAGAAGCUUCUCUGAGUCUUUGCUGAGAACUCGGUGACAAACACCGGAAAGUAA